Molecule: ribosomal RNA, 497 nt
Filed under: uncultured bacterium
Lineage: Bacteria
Description: partial 16S ribosomal RNA
Rfam family: Bacterial small subunit ribosomal RNA
Source: RNAcentral
GAUGAACGCUGGCGGCGUGCCUAAUACAUGCAAGUCGAGCGAACAGACGAGGAGCUUGCUCCUCUGACGUUAGCGGCGGACGGGUGAGUAACACGUGGAUAACCUACCUAUAAGACUGGGGUAACUUCGGGAAACCGGAGCUAAUACCGGAUAAUAUAUUAAACCGCAUGGUUCAAUAGUGAAAGACGGUUUUGCUGUCACUUAUAGAUGGAUCCGCGCCGCAUUAGCUAGUUGGUAAGGUAACGGCUUACCAAGGCAACGAUGCGUAGCCGACCUGAGAGGGUGAUCGGCCACACUGGAACUGAGACACGGUCCAGACUCCUACGGGAGGCAGCAGUAGGGAAUCUUCCGCAAUGGGCGAAAGCCUGACGGAGCAACGCCGCGUGAGUGAUGAAGGUCUUCGGAUCGUAAAACUCUGUUAUUAGGGAAGAACAAAUGUGUAAGUAACUAUGCACGUCUUGACGGUACCUAAUCAGAAAGCCACGGCUAACUACGUG